This is a non-coding RNA of Cinara cedri, 373 nucleotides long. The record is from the annotation of a GenBank genome assembly. Lineage: Eukaryota; Metazoa; Arthropoda; Insecta; Hemiptera; Aphididae.
UCGUAUAACUAUUGUAAUUCUAGAAAAGGCUGUUGUAAGCGCAAUAAUAUAUGCUCUUAAAAAAUUAUACAUGUAAGCGCCUGAAUACGCACUAAAACCGAUAAAAUAUGCAAAAAAUAAUACUAAACGCGAUACCGGAAUGGUAUCUAGAGACUAUACAAACGAAAUACGUGUUGUAAUACAUUAUAAGGGUUUCCUAAUCGAUACGAUUGUUAUACUGAGUUGCAGCGGACGCAAACAGAAAUAAAUGAACGUGUAGAUAUUCAAGAUUGUUUAAAUUAUUCUUGUCGUUGAGUAAUAUUUUGAAGCUUACGGUAUUGAAAAAACGUUGAGCAUACGAAAACGAAAAAAUAGUGCUUGAAUGGUACGGAAA